CGGAAAUCAAUACAAUGGCCAUGGUAGAAGAUCACGGCAAAACAGCCGUGUCUCGGGCUCUCGCCUGGAUAUCGUAAUGUCCGUGUAAACGGUCCUCCAGGAAGCCUCUUGGAAUAAUGAGACGAAACCCACAACAACAAUAGAUAUAAGCUGAAUUAUGAUGAAUCUGUCCGUCACCUGGGGCUGGGGAUAGACAUUACAUAACGCCUAUCUCCUGACUUUUGUUGAGGUGAAAUAGAUGAGCUUUGGCGGCCCGGAGAGAUGCUGAGUCUUUCUUCUUCACACCAAGUGUCAAAUCGCUGACGCUUACAGCCAAAUUACAAACACUCGGCAUUUUUGGCUUAUUAGUCAAAAUCUGAGUUCAAAAACCGACAGGUAGUCCGUCUCUAGUGGUAAGGUGAGAAUGAAUUUCUCUUACUCCGCCUUCCCUUUAACAAUGUUAAUGUUAUAAUAAAUGUGGAAAAAAAAC
Molecule: long non-coding RNA, 469 nt
Organism: Magallana angulata
Lineage: Eukaryota; Metazoa; Mollusca; Bivalvia; Ostreida; Ostreidae
Exons: 3
Source: RefSeq, a predicted model, not a curated record